Molecule: non-coding RNA, 84 nt
Organism: Pelobates cultripes (western spadefoot toad)
Lineage: Eukaryota; Metazoa; Chordata; Amphibia; Anura; Pelobatidae
Source: the annotation of a GenBank genome assembly
UGUGCAAUCGACGUUUCGACCCUCACAGGGUCUUCUUCAGCAAAGUCACAAAGAAGACCCUGUGAGGGUCGAAACGUCGAUUGC